Molecule: ribosomal RNA, 254 nt
Filed under: uncultured bacterium
Lineage: Bacteria
Description: partial 16S ribosomal RNA
Rfam family: Bacterial small subunit ribosomal RNA
Source: RNAcentral
UACGUAGGGGGCGAGCGUUUAUCCGGAAUUACUGGGCGUAAAGCGCACGCAGGCGGUUCGCCAAGUUUGGAGUGACAGUUGUCGGCUCAACCGACAAAGGACUUCAAAAACUGGUGAACUUGAGGACGAGAGAGGAACAUGGAACUCCAGGUGUAGUAGUGAAAUGCGUAGAUAUCUGGAAGAACACCAAUGGCGAAGGCAAUGUUCUGGCUCGUUUCUGACGCUCAGGUGCGAAAGCCAGGGGAGCGAACGGG